Molecule: ribosomal RNA, 301 nt
Filed under: uncultured bacterium
Lineage: Bacteria
Description: partial 16S ribosomal RNA
Rfam family: Bacterial small subunit ribosomal RNA
Source: RNAcentral
CAGCCGCCGCGGGAAUACGUAGGUGGCAAGCGUUGUCCGGAAUUAUUGGGCGUAAAGGGCUCGCAGGCGGUUUCUUAAGUCUGAUGUGAAAGCCCCCGGCUCAACCGGGGAGGGUCAUUGGAAACUGGGAAACUUGAGCGCAGAAGAGGAGAGUGGAAUUCCACGUGUAGCGGUGAAAUGCGUAGAGAUGUGGAGGAACACCAGUGGCGAAGGCGACUCUCUGGUCUGUAACUGACGCUGAGGAGCGAAAGCGUGGGGAGCGAACAGGAUUAGAUACCCGAGUAGUCCCUGUCUCUUAUAC